RNAcentral lists this ribosomal RNA (466 nucleotides) under uncultured bacterium. RNAcentral's name for it is "partial 16S ribosomal RNA". It matches the Rfam family "Bacterial small subunit ribosomal RNA", at positions 28 to 507 of the family's 1533-position model. The record is from RNAcentral.
GACGAACGCUGGCGGCGUGCUUAACACAUGCAAGUCGAACGGAAAGGCCCUGCUUGCCGGGUACUCGAGUGGCGAACGGGUGAGUAACACGUGGGUGAUCUGCCCUGCACUUCGGGAUAAGCCUGGGAAACUGGGUCUAAUACCGGAUAGGAGCCAUUUUUAGUGUGAUGGUUGGAAAGUUUUUUUCGGUGUAGGAUGAGCUCGCGGCCUAUCAGCUUGUUGGUGGGGUAAUGGCCUACCAAGGCGGCGACGGGUAGCCGGCCUGAGAGGGUGGACGGCCACAUUGGGACUGAGAUACGGCCCAGACUCCUACGGGAGGCAGCAGUGGGGAAUAUUGCACAAUGGGCGCAAGCCUGAUGCAGCGACGCCGCGUGGGGGAUGACGGCCUUCGGGUUGUAAACGCCUUUCGCUAGGGACGAAGCUUUUUGUGACGGUACCUAGAGAAGAAGCACCGGCUAACUACGUG